RNAcentral lists this unclassified non-coding RNA (214 nucleotides) under Hevea brasiliensis (rubber tree). Lineage: Eukaryota; Viridiplantae; Streptophyta; Magnoliopsida; Malpighiales; Euphorbiaceae. The record is from RNAcentral.
AGUAGCAUUUAAUCAAAGUGAAUAUAUGAAACUAAUAAAAAAAUUGCUACAUCUGCUAAUAGAAGUAAAUGGCAUAACUAAAUGCAUAUUUAUGUCUAGUAUACACAGUGUCCUGGUUAGGUUGCCACACCAUGGUUCUUUGCAUAGGAAAAAAAAAGCAUCACAUGCAAGCAUCUUAAGUUCUUAACAUUAAAAAAAAUCCAGCCACAUUAAG